Molecule: ribosomal RNA, 492 nt
Filed under: uncultured bacterium
Lineage: Bacteria
Description: partial 16S ribosomal RNA
Rfam family: Bacterial small subunit ribosomal RNA
Source: RNAcentral
AGUGAACGCUGGCGGUAGGCCUAACACAUGCAAGUCGAACGGCAGCACAGUAAGAGCUUGCUCUUACGGGUGGCGAGUGGCGGACGGGUGAGGAAUACAUCGGAAUCUACUUUUUCGUGGGGGAUAACGUAGGGAAACUUACGCUAAUACCGCAUACGACCUACGGGUGAAAGCAGGGGAUCUUCGGACCUUGCGCGAUUGAUUGAGCCGAUGUCGGAUUAGCUAGUUGGCGGGGUAAAGGCCCACCAAGGCGACGAUCCGUAGCUGGUCUGAGAGGAUGAUCAGCCACACUGGAACUGAGACACGGUCCAGACUCCUACGGGAGGCAGCAGUGGGGAAUAUUGGACAAUGGGCGCAAGCCUGAUCCAGCCAUACCGCGUGGGUGAAGAAGGCCUUCGGGUUGUAAAGCCCUUUUGUUGGGAAAGAAAAGCAGCAGGUUAAUACCCCGCUAUUCUGACGGUACCCAAAGAAUAAGCACCGGCUAACUUCGUG